Molecule: long non-coding RNA, 8599 nt
Organism: Hemibagrus wyckioides
Lineage: Eukaryota; Metazoa; Chordata; Actinopteri; Siluriformes; Bagridae
Exons: 4
Source: RefSeq, a predicted model, not a curated record
AGUGUGUGUGUGUGUGUGUGUGUGUACGUGUACGAGACCAGUGUGUGUGUGUGUGUGUGUGUGUGUGUACGUGUACGAGACCAGUGUGUGUGUGUGUACAAGAACGCUCAGAGUCUGCUGCGGUUUUCAACAGUGAGAACACUGACCGCCAUUACACACCUGAACACAGUCAAGUCCAGGAAACUCCCUCAGCAGUCUGAAGUAAGGGAGUGAGGUAAAAGCCCAGUAUGAGCAAAAGGCAGGAGGCAACAUCACUUAUACCACUGGGCAGAUGUCAAGCUGCUAUAAAUAUAUCAUUAUUGAUCUUAAAGGGCAGUGAGGAGGUUGUGACCCUGCCACCAGCCUGUUUUCUCUGGACUUAGUAGUUUAAGGUGAGUUAGCAUUCUCAACAAUAAACAUUAGUAAAUAUACUUGUCAGUAGAGGUCAGGAAUGACCAUUACACAUUUACAUUCCAGUCCCCAGUGUUAGAGAGCCAGGUUCUCCUAGUGAAGUUGUCAGACAACGUAUGCGUUUUUAUUUGAGGUUUUAACAUUUUUAUGGACUUAAAGGAACAGUAGAGAUUAAGAGAUUAAGGGUUUCUGACACUUUUUCAUUUUUCAGACACUUUAUUUUUGCCUGUUUGUGUUUCUUGCUGAUGAAGAAGAGAAGAGUGUUCAACCUCAGAGACAUUUAAUAAAGUAGAGACAAUACAUGUGAAUGAAAAGAAAAUGUGAUAUGAGAUUUCUGAGGUUUUUGAACCAGAGUGGUUGUGUGGUGGAGGAUGGCUGAGGAGGAGCAGGUCAGCAGGUAUGAGAGAGUCAUCUACGCUGUGCUGCUUUAUUAACUGCUAUUUUAAUUCUCAGUGAGGACACAGGUCAUGAUAUAAUUGAGCCACGGAACUAUGAGAUUUAUAGAACCUUUCUGAAGCACUGUCAUUUGGUCCAUCAAGUGUUUGUGGAUCCCUUUGAACAUUUUUCCAUGUCUCAAAUAUUCAAGUUCUCAAAUAUAGCCAUUUUAGACUCAAACCAGUCAACAUGCUCAUUUUCUCUCAAAUCAUCAGGUAAUUGUUCUUGGACAAGCUCAUGCACAACCACGCUUGCCACAAACUUACAAAAUCAGGCAUCCAACAGGCCACAAUAUGCACAUAAACACUUCAACAGCAGCUCCAAGAAAUACAUUUCCCAAGGUUACUCACAAACUGGAUGAGUUCCAAAUCCUUUCAAAGCUGUCGAUGAAAUCUGUGAAUGGCUUGUAGAGUCCAAACGGUGGCCUUGGUUGAGCCUUUCACAUGCCACAUUGCAGAAAAAGCAGAAAAAUCUCUUUAGUUCUCCUUUUAAGUUGUUAAUGUUGAAAUAAACACAUGUUCAGGGUCACGUUCAUAUUUUUGUGAGACAUUGUUACUGAUGGAAUUUAAUUAUUUUUUGUACAGAAGAGAUCAGCAUUAAAAUGAGAUCUAUUUAUUAAAGGAUACUUGUACCUAUUAAAAAACAUGCUUAUGUUAACAUCCUUAUAAGAACAUAUUAUAUUUUGUUCAAUAAAAAAAUUUUAUCUACACUUAUUUCUUUAGUCUGGCAAAAAGCACUGAUUCAUGCUUAUAGGUAUUUAAUUGUCCAGACCUCAGCUGGUGAGGAGGGUUCAUUUACUGGACCUCAGACCGUUUUAGUUGAAGACCGCUGGCUCAGCGUUAGAGCUGAUCAAUGAACCCGACUCUGCUUGGUCAAAGACAUUACAGGGAUAAAGGGAGCUGGGUUCUACAUGAAUUUUAAGAGUGAAGUUGAGCUCUGGUGAGAUCCUGCUUUGCAUCAGUUGCAUAUAUAGACACAUCAAAGGCUUAUUUUUUCAAUCUAGUACAUGUCACUCCACAGCACAAGCUAACCUUCUACUACAAGAAGUCUUGAGCACACCAGGGGCCUCAUGUACAAAGACUUGCGUUGAAUUAAUACUAAAACAUUGCAUACGGAUAAAGCUGUAAAUGUGCGUAUGCACACAAAAAAAUGGUGUAUCAAAGUGUGUACGGAGAAUCCCACGCAUAUUCUCUUUGUACAUCCCAAUUAACUUGAAAUUGAGUGCACAUCAAAACCCCACCCAGUCUCCUCCCUCAAAUAAAUUAAUUUAAAUAUGUAAUGAGUCCACUUUGGCAAAAUCAAACAGCAAGAAAAUGGCAAAAGCAAGCAAGAAACGAAACUUUACAGAAAAUGAAUUGGAGGUGCUACUAUCAGAGGUAGAAACGAGGGAAAAAAUCUUUGGAACGUUGUCCUCUGGAAUUAGUAACAAAAGAAAAAAAACUGAGUGGGAGAGUUUGGCUGACACGGUCAACGCAGUGGGAUCUGAAAAUCGCACUGUACCCGAGAUUAAAAAGAAAUGGUCUGACAUAAAGGUGGAAGUUAAGCGGAGAACUGCUGCACACAGACAAAGUGUGGACAGAACAGGCGGUGGUGCAGGGGUCAAUGAACUUACACCUUUUGAGCAAAGAGUUGCCUCUAUUGUGGGUGACAUUUUACUCUCUGGAACAGUAUCCGCUGCUGUGGGAGACUCGGAUUUACUACAUCAAUGCCCCGAAGAUGGUGCAAUAGCAGGAGCGUCCACUGGCACGCACGAGGAGUCCGUGCCUCCUGAGCAGCCAGUGCCUAUUGUGUCCGGUGUGUCCGGUGUCUCCGGCGUUUCCGUUGCGCCCCCCAGUGCUGAGGCCCAUCAGGCUGGCCGCGUCUUGACCAAUGCUGUUCUGGAGUCACAACAGCAAAUCAUUACGGUCAUCGGGGAAAUUAAUAGUCACCUGAAAAAUAUCACUGAUGCACUCACAGACAUAAGCCACUCAUUAAAGGAAUUGGUCAAAAAAUGAACUUUGUCUCUGCUUACCAAUUAUAUUACCACAACCACACGUUGACGGGCCUGAAUGGCUUGUUGGUUGGGCUGCACAUACACUGGUUCUGGAUCGGGGUCAUCUGGCGGUGCCACAGCCUCACCAAGUGGUAUGCUGUGUCUGUUCGCGACAUUGUGCAGCACACCACAGGCCAGCAUGACGCGGCACACCUUGUUAGGGCGGGAUAGCAGCAUCCCCCUGGUCCUAUCAAGGCAGCGCCACCGGCAUUUCAGCUGCCCAAUCACCCACUCUACAACUGACGCUCUCGGUCGGUUUGUGGGUUGGUGAGGGGGGGUUAACAGCCACGUCUUUAAUGGAUAACCGCGGUAAUAGGCAGUUGAAUAAUUAAACGCACAAAAAAAUAAACACUACACUUAAAUAGAACCAUCAAUGCAUCACUCACCAAGAAGCCACCCAUUGCGCACCCUGCCAGCUUGGAGCCUCAUCCCAACCAUGCUGUUUGUAAGGAUGUAUGUAUCAUGCGUUGACCCAGGCCACCUUGCCACAAUAUUUGUUAGGUGCAUUUGUGCAUCACAUAUUAUUUGCACAUCUAUUGAAUGGAAAUGUUUCCGAUUCAUGUAUGCAUAUUCUUCUUCAGAUGGCGCCUUUAUUACAUUAGGAAAACCGGCUAUCGCUGCAAAUUGUGCUUUAAUGUUUGGCUGGUCAACUGCAUCAUAUGGGAACCUUAUAUACCUGGUGGACAUGCGGAUGAUCCCAUCCCAUACAGCUGGCAUUGCGCGGCUCAAAGACGACUGGCUUAUUCCUGAGCAGUCUGCCAGUUCCCUUUGGAAAGAACCAGUUGCCAGGAAACCAAGUGUUGUCAGCACCUGUAAGGUAAUGGGUAAUGUGUGGCUCCUUGCUGUCUGUCUCUCCAAAUUCGGACCCAACUCAGCACAGAGCUCCAAGAGGAUAGUCCUUGGAAAUCUGAAUCAGCUGAUAAGCCAGUCAUCAUCGUGGUCCAGAAAAUCACUGUGGUCCCUAAAAACUCGUUCUCUUCAGAUUCGGCCAUUGGCAAUGUCCUCUAAUAAGGCCAACGCUGCCAUUGUCAUAGACUAAGGGUUCUUUAAAUUUGCACAUGCUUUUAUAUGUUCUUACUUAAUUGCAGAAAUAUAUGAUGUCAAUUAGCCUAUUUUAUCAAUUAAAAAUUAAUAGCAAUGUUUCUCACAGGUGUUGGUGCGAUAGACUUGUAGAAUAAUUAGUAGUCUAAUGUUUGAAACUUCACUUUAUUGCCUCUAAGAGGUGCCAAUGGACAAAAAACAUGAAAAAUGUAUGUACGUCAGACACAAAGUUGGCGUGAAGGAACACACAUUUUCACGUUAAUUUCUCUGUUAGUAAAUCCGACCGUGAGCGUGAAAGCUGGCGUACGCAAGGUUUUUGUGCGUAUGCAGCGUUGAUACAUGAGGCCUCUGGUCUAGGAUUAUGACUUUUCGUCUAUAAGCUGCUCAGAUGUUGCUGUAUAUAACAGUGGAAUGGACUUGAGAGUUAAGUGGAAUCUGUUUAUGAUGAAACUGCAAGACGCUGAACUAGUGGGAUUAAUCCUGUUCUAUCGGGCAGUGUUAGAGGCUUGGACGGUUCUCUCCAGCUCAUGUUUACCUGACUCACCUGCUGGGGUGUGGCUAAUGGAGGAGCUUCUAUUUCUGAAAUUUUUGAACCACAUCUUUUAUCUUUACCACUCCAGAACUGGUUUAUUUCAAAAGAAGAGGAAAAUAAAAACGUAAUAUAACCUGCAUGAAGGUCUGUCUUGCAGGAAGUGACAGUUCAACAAGGUGGAUCGAGUUCUUGGCUCUGACUCCUCCCCUAAAGGCUGCUGGAGGUCACUGUAUAAUUGUCCGAUUGACAAAGACACCCGACCUCCAGUGGAGGAUAGUACACAGGACAAUUGCCACAGACAGACAUUGGGUGCACCUCGGUCCUGCGGUCAGGGUGGGCUGCCCUUUCUUUCUUGAACCAGAGUCUUGUUUCAUUUUUUUAUACAAUGUUGUCGUCUAUGCAACUUCAGAAAGAUGUUUAAGGUGAUUAUUUUUGGACGGAAGUAUACAGUAAAGAAGAACAGUGAUGUGAUUCUACUAAAUCUCAUAACUGGAACAGAAAAGCUAGCUGUAUGGACAGUGAGGAAGAUGUCAGGACAGGGAACAGUGGUACAGAGUACAUUUUGUUUUAGCUUUCUGACUGACCCAGUUAAGGAGGAUUAAACCUCAAAUCUCUCUCUCUCUCUCUCUCUCACACACACACACACACAGAUUUUACCCCGACGUUGUGAUUGUUGUCAUGAUUUGAUCCUCAAAAGUAUUCACUAAUCCAGAAAGGCUGCUACACAAAACCCAGCUUUCAGCAGGUCUGAAGGCAACAUGACAGGAUUUUAAAAUCAAAUGCUAACAGGAAAACCGGUUGGUGUUGAUGGUGGUAGUGGUGGUGGUGUUGAUGGAGGUGUUGGUCUUGUUGGUGGUAAUGGUGCAGUUGGUGUUGAUGGUGGUGAUGGUUUUGGUGAACAUCUACAGAACAUCUCUCCACUGUCAUGGCUGAUCUGAGCUACUGCAGCAUGUCAGGGUCAUCAAAAAGACUUAAACAUGACUCACAGGAACAUUUAACAAUUCAACUUUAUUCAAAAAUUGAAAAAUAACUGAAUAAAGUUAAAAAAAAGAGCAGGGUUUUGCACAGGAGAGUCUGUUAGAUUAACUGUCCAGCAGGAGGCACUGUGUGUUUUGUAGCAUUUAUAAAAUAAGAGCUUUAUAAUGAAAUCUGUGUGUCUGUGGGGGAUCUUUACUUUUGGUCAACAUUGAAAUUUCUGAAGUGAAUUAAAAAUUUAACUGAAUGGAAGUUUUGAAAAAGCAGAAAUAUCAUUAAAGUAAUCCGAUAUUAAAUCUUUAAUUAAUUUCCGUUUUUUGUUGGAUUUUUUUAAAAGCAUCAUACUUUAAACAGAAAGCAUGAAAACUUCACAUACCACAAUCCUUCACUUCGGCCUCUUCAGCUUGUUGCUUAGCGACCGUCCUCUCUCUGAGCUGCGAGAGCACGUGUCCUCACAGCGUCCUGUCCUCAGAGCCUCGCUCUCCCUCACAGCGUCCUGUCCUCAGAGCCUCACUCUCCCUCACAGCGUCCUGUCCUCAGAGCCUCGCUCUCCCUCACAGCGUCCUGUCCUCAGAGCCUCGCUCUCCCUCACAGCGUCCUGUCCUCAGAGCCUCACUCUCCCUCACAGCGUCCUGUCCUCAGAGCCUCGCUCUCCCUCACAGCUCCCUGUCCUCAGAGCCUCGCUCUCCCUCACAGCUCCCUGUCCUCAGAGCCUCGCUCUCCCUCACAGCUCCCUGUCCUCAGAGCCUCGCUCUCCCUCACAGCUCCCUGUCCUCAGAGCCUCGCUCUCCCUCACCGAGGAGUGCUUCUCACCCAGACCGAGGUUCAGGACACGCCCAGGCGGAGAGGGGAAGAAGGAAAAAAUCAGCUACAAUAAAUGAUUCAAAUAACGACAAGAUACAAGUGCUGUAGAUGUACUCUGAUGUGCAUCACUGUUGCUAUAGCAACUUCAGAUGCAACAAGAGUGAAGCGGGUCAGAGGUUUGUUUACUCUUCAGGAUGUUUCUGACGUCUUUGCUGUGAUUCAGGAUGCAGGUCCACCAGGAUGUCUGGACAGAGCAGGGAAGUCUCCUUAAUAUACCACCUACUGAGGGAACAGAUGCUCACAGAGGAGAAGUGGCUAAACAUGUUUAUUUAAAAAUAAUUACUGGAACUUUUUGCAUUAGAAUGAACAACUAAAAGACAAAAGCAAAAAAAUAAUUUAAUAAAAUAAUAAUAAUAAUAAUAAUAAUAAUAAUAACAAAAAAUAGAACAAUUUCUGUGAUUUGUCAGAGUUAAGGUCAGUGAGGAAAAUAUGUCCAAAUCCCCAUGAACAGGAAGUCUGAGGAUUUUCUGCUUCACUUCUGAAACUCAGAUCUCACUCUCCUCAUGGUGUAGCAGGAUAAAUAAAUGUAAAAAAGAAAAGGUAAAGCAGCUCAAUAAACAGGCUUUGAAUAAAUAAAUAAAUAUUUGACUGCAUUAAUUUUGUGUAAUUCUGUGUACAGAUAAAUUGUGUGUGUUAAAGUAAAUUUGUUUUUAAUUUCCAUGUAUUAUCAGAAUCAGAAAUCAGAAUCAGAAAAAGUUUUAUUGCCAGGUACAGCAAAGGGUCAGCACAGAGCACUUUACAGUACUAGGAAUUUGUCAUGGUGUCAGGUGUGAACAUAUACACAGGUAUGAAAUGUCUGUACAAAUAUACACAAUUUUAGAAAAGAGCUAGAGUAUAUAAAGUAUUCUGUUACACUGGGCUGAUAUUAAACUCUCCAUGUGGUUUUAGUAAAACAUUUACACACACACACACACACACACAUCUCUCACUAUUUGUUAUUAAGGACUGAAAUCCAGAGUAAAGUUCAGUGUCACAGUCCACUCUGUUCAACACCUCCAUCAGCUGCAGCCCCUGGAGCAGGACAUGAUGAUGUUCAGGAGGUUUAUUCCUCCUAAAAAACACAACAGCUUUAGGAGGCGACUGCUCUCUCCUCGCCGCAGGAACGUGCUACAUCAUGCCGUGCCUCAGGGUGAGUCUCUGAAACAGAAGAGUGAGAGCAGAGAGGAGUCCAUCCUGACCAUCCUUGGGAUCUCAUGCACCGUCCUGAACCUCCUGGUCAUCAUAUUCGUCUACAUCUACACCUCCCUAAUGAAGUGCAGCUUGUUGUGUUACUGUGGAGUCAUAAAGCAUGACUGAAAGCCAACUGGAGCAAAAAAUCAGCUGACCUGAGAGAGAGAGAGAGAGAGAGAGAGACAGACAGAGAGAGAGAGACAGACAGAGAGACAGAUGGAGAUAGUGAGAAACAUCCGAGGAGCAGAGUGAUGUAGGAAGUGAAAGAAGAGAAGGAGUGAAUAUGAGACAGUGGAGAUCAGGACAUCAGGACACACCUGUUUCUCCUUCAUUAAUGAAGUCAUGAAAUAAUUCUGUAAUAAAAUGGAGGAACUUCAGCAGAGACGAGACGUCAGAGUGUCACUGAGAGCUGAGGAAGAGUUUAAUGAGAGAGAUUUCUGUGUAAUAGAGGUACAUGUGGUCAUGUGAUCAUGUUUAAUACGUUUGGUCAUGUGACGUGGUCAGAAGACAUGAACAUGACUUCACUGCUUCAGUGUGAGAGGAGAGUCCUAACACUGUGAAGAUAUCAGAGCAGAACCUGAAAUAACACCAGCACCAUGGAGUUCACACACACACACACACACACACACACACACACACUGUAAAUACAGCUCUGGAAAAAAAUAAGAGCCCACUGCAAAAUCAUGAGUUUCUUGUGUUUUUUUCUUCCAGGGUCAUGUAUUGGUCAGAUGAAGAGUUUUGUUUCAUUUUUUGUGAACUGCUGACAAUAUUUCUCCUAAAUUCAGAAUAUAACUAUUGUUAUUUAGAGAGUAUAUUUAAAGGAAAUGACAAAAACAUCAAAAUAACCCAAGAUCAUGCAGUAUUAGCAGAGCUUUAAUAACUCAAAUAAAACAAAAUAAUAAUAAUAAUUAUAAUAAUAAUGAUUUGUAAACAGAUUGUGUUAAUGUUUUGGAUAAAUAUCAUUAAGAGAUCAGUAUUUGGUGGAAUAACCCCGAUCUGCAUGUGUUCUGGCUCCAUGCUCUCCAAUUAUUACUCCAUAACCAGCACUGUUUUAUUGUAGUGUUUUAUUUUGUUGUUGUUGUUGUUUUGUUGUUGUUGUUGUUGUAUGUGGGUGUUUUAAAUAAAGUCAUCCUUCCCUGUGAGUUAGCACUCUCUUGUUA